RNAcentral lists this ribosomal RNA (260 nucleotides) under uncultured bacterium. RNAcentral describes it as "partial small subunit ribosomal RNA". It matches the Rfam family "Bacterial small subunit ribosomal RNA", at positions 26 to 285 of the family's 1533-position model. The record is from RNAcentral.
AGGACGAACGCUGGCGGCGUGCUUAACACAUGCAAGUCGAGCGAGACCCCGCUUUCGGGUGGGUGUUCUAGCGGCGAACGGGUGAGUAACACGUGGGCAACCUGCCCUCAGCUCUGGGAUAACUCCAAGAAAUUGGGGCUAAUACCGGAUAUGACCGCUGACCGCAUGGUCUGGUGGUGGAAAGAUUUAUCGGCUGGGGAUGGGCCCGCGGCCUAUCAGCUUGUUGGUGGGGUAAUGGCCUACCAAGGCGACGACGGGUA